Molecule: ribosomal RNA, 600 nt
Filed under: Trichoderma konilangbra
Lineage: Eukaryota; Fungi; Ascomycota; Sordariomycetes; Hypocreales; Hypocreaceae
Description: eukaryotic LSU rRNA
Rfam family: Eukaryotic large subunit ribosomal RNA
Source: RNAcentral
UCUGGCCCCUCGGGUCCGAGUUGUAAUUUGUAGAGGAUGCUUUUGGCAAGGCGCCGCCCGAGUUCCCUGGAACGGGACGCCACAGAGGGUGAGAGCCCCGUCUGGCUGGCCGCCGAGCCUCUGUAAAGCUCCUUCGACGAGUCGAGUAGUUUGGGAAUGCUGCUCAAAAUGGGAGGUAUAUGUCUUCUAAAGCUAAAUAUUGGCCAGAGACCGAUAGCGCACAAGUAGAGUGAUCGANAGAUGAAAAGCACCUUGAAAAGAGGGUUAAAUAGUACGUGAAAUUGUUGAAAGGGAAGCGCUUGUGACCAGACUUGGGCGCGGCGGAUCAUCCGGGGUUCUCCCCGGUGCACUUCGCCGCGUCCAGGCCAGCAUCAGUUCGUCGCGGGGGAAAAAGGCUCCGGGAACGUGGCUCCCCUGGGAGUGUUAUAGCCCGUUGCACAAUACCCUGCGGUGGACUGAGGACCGCGCAUCUGCAAGGAUGCUGGCGUAAUGGUCACCAGCGACCCGUCUUGAAACACGGACCAAGGAGUCGUCUUCGUAUGCGAGUGUUCGGGUGUCAAACCCCUACGCGUAAUGAAAGUGAACGCAGGUGAGAGCUUC